AGUGAAAGGCUGAAAACGCGUGAGAGGGGAGGGGCGAGAGGUGGCUCUAUUUCUCUUUCCUUAUUUGCUCGCCUUUCCUCUCCCUAUCAAGAUCAGGAGGUCUCAGGACUCUUAUGAGGUGUUCGUCGUGACGAUGAAGGAGAGCUGAUAUUUUUUUCUCUGCCUGUUCUUUAUGGGGCUUUUGUUCUGAUCUGAGAUUCUUAUCGUCCGUUCAAGAUCCCGUAACCGAGAGCAUUUGAUUACGAGCAAAACUACUGAAUUUUUUGGACGUGUUUGGACCUGCUGUUCCAAGAGAUGCAUGUCUACCAUGGUUGUGCUCCAGCAGAACCUCCAGUGCCCUUUCAUUGCCCACUGGGCAAGUCUCUCUUGGUGUUAUGGAAAAGGAUGUGAAAGGCAGACUCCUAAUAUGGAACUGUAGUCCUCUAAACUUAGAAGCAUCAAGGCAACCCACCUAGCAAGGCAUACAGAGCCCUUGGAAGCUUCCUUACAUCAUGCCUUCUUUAGGUCACCUGGUCCCCUUUUCCUGUUAUUAGAUUUUAUUGCUGUAUAUCCGAUGAAAGAUGUUAUUGUUGUAUUUACCAUGUUCUCCGGCAAGUGAAACUCCUGGACAUUGGUUGUAUUGUGUUACUAAGAAA
This is a long non-coding RNA of Nymphaea colorata (pocket water lily), 635 nucleotides long. RefSeq lists it as uncharacterized. The record is from RefSeq and is a predicted model, not a curated record. NCBI's taxonomy places the organism in Eukaryota, Viridiplantae, Streptophyta, Magnoliopsida, Nymphaeales, Nymphaeaceae. The transcript has 2 exons.